Phrynosoma platyrhinos (Desert horned lizard) is the source of this 74-nucleotide non-coding RNA. The record is from the annotation of a GenBank genome assembly. NCBI's taxonomy places the organism in Eukaryota, Metazoa, Chordata, Lepidosauria, Squamata, Phrynosomatidae.
GCCAACAUGGCAUAGUGGUUUGUGUGUUGGACUACGACUCUGGAGAUCAGGGUUCGAUUCUCAGCUCAAUGGGA